GCUCUGUUCGUCUAAUCGGUUAAGACUCCGUACUCAUAAUACGGACAAUGAGAGUUCAAGUCUCUCGCAGAGCACAU
RNAcentral lists this transfer RNA (77 nucleotides) under Rhodococcus phage Weasels2. RNAcentral describes it as "tRNA-Met". It matches the Rfam family "tRNA". From Rfam's summary of the family: Transfer RNA (tRNA) molecules are approximately 80 nucleotides in length. Their secondary structure includes four short double-helical elements and three loops (D, anti-codon, and T loops). Lineage: Duplodnaviria; Heunggongvirae; Uroviricota; Caudoviricetes. The record is from RNAcentral.